RNAcentral lists this ribosomal RNA (403 nucleotides) under uncultured bacterium. RNAcentral describes it as "partial 16S ribosomal RNA". It matches the Rfam family "Bacterial small subunit ribosomal RNA", at positions 30 to 526 of the family's 1533-position model. The record is from RNAcentral.
AUUGAACGCUGGCGGCAGGCCUAACACAUGCAAGUCGAGCGAGCGGCGGACGGGUGAGUAAGGUAGGGGGACUGCCCGAUAGAGGGGGAUAACUACUGGAAACGGUGGCUAAUACUGCAUACUAUCGGAUAACCCAUAUGGGAUUAGCUAGUCGGUGGGGUAAAGGCUCACCUAGGCGACGAGCUCUAGCUGGUCUGAGAGGGUGAACGGCCACACUGGGACUGAGACACGGCCCAGACUCCUACGGAGGCAGCAGUUGGGAAUAUUGCACAAUGGGCGCAAGCCUGAUGCAGCCAUGCCGCGUGUAUGAAGAAGGCCUUAGGGUUGUAAAGUACUUUCGGCGGAGAGGCGUUACCUGCAGAAGAAGCACCGGCUAACUCCGUGCCAGCCGCCGCGGUAAUAC